GGUCUGCAACUCGACCACACGAAGCUGGAAUCGCUAGUAAUCGCGAAUCAGCAUGUCGCGGUGAANACGUUCCCGGGUCUUGUACACACCGCCCGUCACACCAUGGGAGUCAGCAACGCCCGAAGUCAGUGACCUAACCGAAAGGAAGGAGCUGCCGAAGGCGGGGCAGGUAACUGGGGUGAAGUCGUAACAAGGUAGC
This 199-nucleotide ribosomal RNA is filed under the name uncultured bacterium. RNAcentral's name for it is "partial 16S ribosomal RNA". It matches the Rfam family "Bacterial small subunit ribosomal RNA", at positions 1302 to 1500 of the family's 1533-position model. The record is from RNAcentral.